This 253-nucleotide ribosomal RNA is filed under the name uncultured bacterium. RNAcentral's name for it is "partial 16S ribosomal RNA". It matches the Rfam family "Bacterial small subunit ribosomal RNA", at positions 524 to 776 of the family's 1533-position model. The record is from RNAcentral.
UACGGAGGGUGCAAGCGUUAUCCGGAUUCACUGGGUUUAAAGGGUGCGUAGGAGGGCAGGUAAGUCAGUGGUGAAAUCUUCGAGCUUAACUCGGAAACUGCCGUUGAUACUAUCUGUCUUGAAUACCGUGGAGAUGAGCGGAAUAUGUCAUGUAGCGGUGAAAUGCUUAGAUAUGACAUAGAACACCAAUUGCGAAGGCAGCUCGUUACACGAAUAUUGACUCUGAGGCACGAAAGCGUGGGGAUCAAACAAG